CUGCGGAAGGAUCAUUACCACACCAUAAAACUUUCCACGUGAACCGUUACAAUUAUGUUCUGUGCCCUCUCUCGGGAGGGCUGAACGAAGGUGGCGCUGCAUGUAUGUGCGGUGUUGCCGAUGUACUUUCAAACCCAUUACUAAAUACUGAACUAUACUCCGAGAACGAAAGUUUUUGGUUUUAAUCAAUAACAACUUUCAGCAGUGGAUGUCUAGGCUCGCACAUCGAUGAAGAACGCUGCGAACUGCGAUACGUAAUGCGAAUUGCAGAAUUCAGUGAGUCAUCGAAAUUUUGAACGCACAUUGCACUUUCGGGAUAUUCCUGGAAGUAUGCUUGUAUCAGUGUCCGUACAUCAAACUUGCCUUUCUUUUUUUGUGUAGUCAAGGAGAGAAAUGGCAGACUGUGAGGUGUCUCGCUGGCUCCCUCUUCGGAGGAGAAGACGCGAGUCCCUUUAAAUGUACGUUCGCUCUUUCUUGUGUCUGAGAUGAAGUGUGACUUUCGAACGCAGUGAUCUGUUUGGAUCGCUUUGCGCGAGUGGGCGACUUCGGUUAGAACAUUAAAGGAAGCAACCUCUAUUGGCGGUAUGUUAGGCUUCGGCCCGACUUUGCAGCUGACAGUGUGUAGUUUUCUGUUCUUUCCUUGAAGUGUACCUGUCUUGUGUGAGGCAAUGGUCUGGGCAAAUGGUUAUUGUGUAGUAGAAUGUUGCUGCUCUUGGACGCCCUAUUCGUAGGGUAAAGGAGGCAACACCAAUUUGGGAUCAGUUCGUGGAAUUUAUUCUGCGGGCGCUUUUUCAAUUUGGACCUGAUAUCAAG
This 813-nucleotide ribosomal RNA is filed under the name Pythium sp. IBL/2011/12/1. RNAcentral describes it as "eukaryotic LSU rRNA". The stretch from base 194 to 348 matches the Rfam family "5.8S ribosomal RNA". The record is from RNAcentral. Lineage: Eukaryota; Oomycota; Peronosporomycetes; Pythiales; Pythiaceae.